Molecule: ribosomal RNA, 45 nt
Filed under: Iris domestica
Lineage: Eukaryota; Viridiplantae; Streptophyta; Magnoliopsida; Asparagales; Iridaceae
Description: partial 28S ribosomal RNA
Source: RNAcentral
CAAGUCAAUCUUCGAAAAUACUGCCGCCCCGCUGAGUUUAAGCAU